AAUAGAUACCCGGGUAGUCUAUGCCGUAAACGUUGGGCACUAGGUGUGGGGGACAUUCCACGUUUUCCGCGCCGUAGCUAACGCAUUAAGUGCCCCGCCUGGGGAGUACGGCCGCAAGGCUAAAACUCAAAGGAAUUGACGGGGGCCCGCACAAGCGGCGGAGCAUGCGGAUUAAUUCGAUGCAACGCGAAGAACCUUACCAAGGCUUGACAUGGACCGGACCGCCGCAGAAAUGUGGUUUCCCCUUUGGGGCCGGUUUACAGGUGGUGCAUGGUUGUCGUCAGCUCGUGUCGUGAGAUGUUGGGUUAAGUCCCGCAACGAGCGCAACCCUCGUUCUAUGUUGCCAGCGGUUCGGCCGGGGACUCAUAGGAGACUGCCGGGGUCAACUCGGAGGAAGGUGGGGACGACGUCAAAUCAUCAUGCCCCUUAUGACCUGGGCUACACACGUGCUACAAUGGACGGUACAAAGAGUUGCGAGACCGCGAGGUGGAGCGAAUCCCUUAAAGCGCGUCUCGGUUCGGAUUGCAGGCUGAAACCCGCUGCAUGAAGGCG
RNAcentral lists this ribosomal RNA (552 nucleotides) under uncultured bacterium. RNAcentral's name for it is "bacterial SSU rRNA". It matches the Rfam family "Bacterial small subunit ribosomal RNA", at positions 777 to 1328 of the family's 1533-position model. The record is from RNAcentral.